This 445-nucleotide ribosomal RNA is filed under the name uncultured bacterium. Its description in RNAcentral is "bacterial SSU rRNA". It matches the Rfam family "Bacterial small subunit ribosomal RNA", at positions 227 to 695 of the family's 1533-position model. The record is from RNAcentral.
GGGCCUGCGGCGCAUUAGUUAGUUGGUGAGGUGAGAGCUCACCAAGACGAUGAUGCGUAGCCGGACUGAGAGGUUGAACGGCCACAUUGGGACUGAGAGACGGCCCAAACUCCUACGGGAGGCAGCAGUAGGGAAUUUUCGGCAAUGGAGGAAACUCUGACCGAGCAACGCCGCGUGAAUGACGAAGUACUUCGGUAUGUAAAGUUCUUUUAUCAAGGAAGUGACGGUACUUGAUGAAUAAGCCCCGGCUAACUAUGUGCCAGCAGCCGCGGUAAUACAUAGGGGGCAAGCGUUAUCCGGAAUUAUUGGGCGUAAAGGGUGCGUAGGCGGUCAUUUAAGUCUUUGGUGUAAGUGCAAGGCUCAACCUGUGAUGCUAAGGAAACUGGAUGACUUGAGUGUGAUAGAGGUAAGUGGAAUUCCAUGUGUAGCGGUAAAAUGCGUAAAU